RNAcentral lists this ribosomal RNA (255 nucleotides) under uncultured bacterium. Its description in RNAcentral is "partial 16S ribosomal RNA". It matches the Rfam family "Bacterial small subunit ribosomal RNA", at positions 524 to 777 of the family's 1533-position model. The record is from RNAcentral.
UACGAAGGGGGGCUAGCGUUGUUCGGAUUUACUGGGCGUAAAGCGCACGUAGGCGGAUCGUUAAGUCGGGGGUGAAAUCCUGGAGCUCAACUCCAGAACUGCCUUCGAUACUGGCGAUCUUGAGUCCGGAAGAGGUGAGUGGAACUCCUAGUGUAGAGGUGGAAUUCGUAGAUAUUAGGAAGAACACCAGUGGCGAAGGCGGCUCACUGGACCGGAACUGACGCUGAUGCGCGAAAGCGUGGGGAGCAAACGGGG